This 73-nucleotide transfer RNA is filed under the name Schistocerca americana (American grasshopper). RNAcentral describes it as "tRNA-Val". It matches the Rfam family "tRNA". Rfam says of the family: Transfer RNA (tRNA) molecules are approximately 80 nucleotides in length. Lineage: Eukaryota; Metazoa; Arthropoda; Insecta; Orthoptera; Acrididae. The record is from RNAcentral.
GUUUCCGUAGUGUAGCGGUUAUCACGUCUGCUUCACACGUAGAAGGUCUCCGGUUCGAUCCCGGGCGGGAACA